This 468-nucleotide ribosomal RNA is filed under the name uncultured bacterium. RNAcentral describes it as "partial 16S ribosomal RNA". It matches the Rfam family "Bacterial small subunit ribosomal RNA", at positions 28 to 507 of the family's 1533-position model. The record is from RNAcentral.
GACGAACGCUGGCGGCGUGCUUAACACAUGCAAGUCGAACGGAAAGGCCCUGCUUUUGUGGGGUGCUCGAGUGGCGAACGGGUGAGUAACACGUGAGUAACCUGCCCUUGACUUUGGGGUAACUUCAGGAAACUGGGGCUAAUACCGGAUAGGAGCUCCUGCUGCAUGGUGGGGGUUGGAAAGUUUCGGCGGUUGGGGAUGGACUCGCGGCUUAUCAGCUUGUUGGUGGGGUAGUGGCUUACCAAGGCUUUGACGGGUAGCCGGCCUGAGAGGGUGACCGGCCACAUUGGGACUGAGGUACGGCCCAGACUCCUACGGGAGGCAGCAGCGGGGAGUAUUGCGCAGUGGGCGGGAGCCUGAUGCAGCAACGCCGCGUGCGGGAUGACGGCCUUCGGGUUGUGAACCGCUUUCGCCUGUGACGAAGCGUGAGUGACGGUAAUGGGUAAGGAAGCACCGGCUAACUACGUG